AUGGUGGGGCGUGCCCGGCCGCACGCUGGAGGCCGUCCUCGAGUACAUCGAGGGCGGCAACACGCCGAGGCUCGAGUACCCCGCUCCCCCGUCCUUCUCUCGCCGACGUGGGAGUUGCUGGACGCCGAGGCACAUGGAGCAGCCCGGGGCGUCCUCCUCCUCGUCCGGUCGCUCGUCCGGCUCUCCCUGCCUCCGCCCCGUCAAGCCGGAACCCCAGGACAUGCCUGUCAGCGGGCGCACCCGCAGCUCCGGCGUCCGCAUCGGCGACUCCACCCCCCCUCUGGCCGCCUCGUCCUCGUCGCGCCCAAGCCGGAGCCCGGCCUCCCCGCGGAGUACGAGGAGAUAGCCCGGCGCGGCUUCUCCGACGAGGAGACCCUAAAGUGGGCGCGGGACGACUACCUCCACGACGAGAUGGUCCGGUAG
This 423-nucleotide ribosomal RNA is filed under the name Triticum aestivum (bread wheat). RNAcentral describes it as "partial small subunit ribosomal RNA". Lineage: Eukaryota; Viridiplantae; Streptophyta; Magnoliopsida; Poales; Poaceae. The record is from RNAcentral.